Molecule: ribosomal RNA, 1668 nt
Filed under: uncultured Symbiodinium
Lineage: Eukaryota; Dinophyceae; Suessiales; Symbiodiniaceae
Description: partial Bacterial large subunit ribosomal RNA
Rfam family: Bacterial large subunit ribosomal RNA
Source: RNAcentral
GAGAUUCCGAAAGUAGCGGCGAGCGAAAUCGGAUUAGCCCUUAAGCUUUAGUGUAGUUAGUGGAACAUUCUGGAAAGUUUGACGAUACAGGGUGACAGUCCCGUACACAAAAACUUAUCUAAAGUGAAAUCGAGUAGGUCGGAGCACGUGAAACUUUGACUGAAUAUAGGUGGACCAUCAUCUAAGGCUAAAUACUCCCAACUGACCGAUAGUGAACCAGUACCGUGAGGGAAAGGUGAAAAGCACCCCGGGAGGGGAGUGAAAUAGAACCUGAAACCGUGUGCUUACAAGUAGUCAGAGCCCGUUAAUGGGUGAUGGCGUGCCUUUUGUAGAAUGAACCGGCGAGUUGCGAUUUCAUGCAAGGUUAAGCAGAGGAUGCGGAGCCGUAGCGAAAGCGAGUCUGAAUAGGGCGUCCAGUAUGGGGUUGCAGACCCGAAACCAGGUGAUCUACCCAUGUCCAGGCUGAAGUCCAGGUAACACUGGAUGGAGGGCCGAACCGACUUACGUUAAAAAGUGACCGGAUGAGGUGUGGGUAGCGGAGAAAUUCCAAUCGAACCUGGAGAUAGCUGGUUCUCUCCGAAAUAUAUUUAGGUAUAGCCUCGUGUUAGCAUCGUGGAGGUAGAGCACUGUUUGGACGAGGGGCCCAUCCCGGGUUACCGAAUUCAGACAAACUCCGAAUGCCACAGAUGUGAUGCACGGGAGUCAGACAGCGGGUGAUAAGGUCCGUUGUCGAGAGGGAAACAGCCCAGACCACCAGUUAAGGUCCCAAAAUAUAUGUUAAGUGGAAAAGGAUGUGGCGUUGCACAGACAACUAGGAUGUUGGCUUAGAAGCAGCCAUCAUUUAAAGAGUGCGUAAUAGCUCACUAGUCAAGUGACGCUGCGCCGAAAAUGUACCGGGGCUAAACAUAUUACCGAAACUGUGGAUCAAUUUAUUGAUGGUAGGAGAGCGUUCCAAUGGCAGGGAAGCAUGACCGUGAGGACAUGUGGAGCGAUUGGAAGUGAGAAUGCCGGUGUGAGUAGCGAAAGACGGGUGGGAAUCCCGUCCACCGAAUGACUAAGGUUUCCAGAGGAAGGCUCGUCCGCUCUGGGUUAGUCGGGACCUAAGCCGAGGCGGAAACGCGUAGGCGAUGGACAACAGGCAGAAAUUCCUGUACCGGUGAUAUGUGUUUGAGUGAAGUGGUGACGCAGGAGGAGAAGCAGAGCGUGCGAUUGGAAGAGCACGUCCAAGCAUCGAGUCGUCAGGGUAGGCAAAUCCGCCCUGUACAACGACGAGGUGUGACGGGGAGCCGAAAUUUAGUAGGCGAAGCUGUGGGUUCACACUGCCAAGAAAAGCUGCUGGCGAAUAUAUCACUGCCCGUACCGCAAACCGACACAGGUAGUUGGGAAGAGAAUUCUAAGGUGAGCGAGCGAACUCUCGUUAAGGAACUCGGCAAAAUGACCCCGUAACUUCGGGAGAAGGGGUGCUCAUGAAAAUGAGCCGCAGUGAAUAGGCCCAAGCGACUGUUUAUCAAAAACACAGGUCUCUGCCAAACCGAAAGGUGACGUAUAGGGGCUGACGCCUGCCCGGUGCUGGAAGGUUAAGAGGAGCGCUCAGCGUAAGCGAAGGUGCGAAUCGAAGCCCCAGUAAACGGCGGCCGUAACAAUAACGGUCCUAAGGUAGCGAAAUUC